Molecule: ribosomal RNA, 533 nt
Filed under: uncultured delta proteobacterium
Lineage: Bacteria; Deltaproteobacteria
Description: partial 16S ribosomal RNA
Source: RNAcentral
GCCCUUCGUAUUACCGCGGCUGCUGGCACGUAGUUAGCCGAGACUUAUUCCUGAGGUACCGUCCUUCCUCUUCCCUCAGAAAAGUGCUUUACAACCCGAAAGCCUUCAUCACCCACGCGGCGUUGCUGCGUCAGGGUUUCCCCCAUUGCGCAAAAUUCCUCACUGCUGCCUCCCGUAGGAGUCUGGACCGUGUGUCAGUUCCAGUGUGGCUGAUCAUCCUCUCAGACCAGCUAACCAUCGUUGCCUUGGUAGGCCAUUACCCUACCAACAAGCUAAUGGUACGCGGGCUCAUCUCUAAACAGUAGCUUACAUGUAGAGGCCACCUUUGAUCCCAAAAACCUAAGUUCUCGGAAUAUUAUUCGGUAUUAGCCCCGCUUUCGCGGGGUUAUCCCCAAUUCAGAGGUAGAUUGCCCACGCGUUACUCACCCGUGCGCCACUUUACUAUCUUCUGCAAGCAGAAGAGUUCUCGUGCGACUUGCAUGUGUUAAGCACGCCGCCAGCGUUCAUUCUGAGCCAUGAUCAAACUCAAGGGC